This 564-nucleotide small RNA is filed under the name Pongo abelii (Sumatran orangutan). RNAcentral's name for it is "processed transcript". Lineage: Eukaryota; Metazoa; Chordata; Mammalia; Primates; Hominidae. The record is from RNAcentral.
GUCAGGAACUGUGUGUGAUGUUGCAGGGCAUGAGGCACAGAAGAAAAUCUAAGAAGUCCAGUGAUGACUUCACUGACAUGGAGAAGGUUGAAAAGAGCAGGCAAAAGAAUCCUCGAAGCUUAUGUAUCCAGACACAGACAGCUCCCGAUGUGCUGCCCCCUGAGAAAACACUUGAAUUGACGCAAUAUAAAACAAAAUGUGAAAACCAAAGUGGAUUUAUCCUGCAGCUCAAGCAGCUUCUUGCCUGUGGUAAUACCAAGUUUGAGGCAUUGACAGUUGUGAUUCAGCACCUGCUGUCUGAGCGGGAGGAAGCGCUGAAACAACACAAAACCCUAUCUCAAGAACUUGUUAACCUCCGGGGAGAGCUAGUCACUGCUUCAACCACCUGUGAGAAAUUAGAAGAAGCCAGGAAUGAGUUACAAACAGCGUAUGAAGCAUUUGUCCAGCAGCACCAGGCUGAAAAAACAGAACGAGAGAAUCGGCUUAAAGAAUUUUACACCAGGGAGUAUGAAAAGCUUCGGGACACUUACAUUGAAGAAGCAGAGAAGUACAAAAUGCAAUUGC